UUAACUAUUAUAUAGUACUCAGACAAUAUUAAAAAUGAGUUUUAGGUCCUCUAGCAGGCACUGACCAGCCAAAGCCGGUGGCCGAAGCGGGCCUGCUAAAGCAACAAAGAUAGUAGACAGAGGGUGGAGUAUUAGAGUGGUAACUCUUAAUAGCUCUUUAAUGAUCCUUCCGCAGGUUCACCUACGGAAA
Molecule: unclassified non-coding RNA, 190 nt
Filed under: uncultured fungus
Lineage: Eukaryota; Fungi
Description: sequence contains ITS1
Source: RNAcentral